Molecule: transfer RNA, 75 nt
Filed under: subsurface metagenome
Description: tRNA-Val
Rfam family: tRNA
About the family: Transfer RNA (tRNA) molecules are approximately 80 nucleotides in length.
Source: RNAcentral
GGGCUCGUGGUCUAGUUGGUUAUGACACCGCCUUCACACGGCGGAGGUCAUGCGUUCGAAUCGCAUCGAGCCCAC